Molecule: long non-coding RNA, 305 nt
Filed under: Cyanistes caeruleus (blue tit)
Lineage: Eukaryota; Metazoa; Chordata; Aves; Passeriformes; Paridae
Description: lncRNA (ENSCCEG00000021497.1)
Source: RNAcentral
AAUGUUAAAUGUAAAAUAUCAUACGUAAUUGAUAUUUUUCUGCUCUGUUGUAGAUUAUAUCAUCUUACUUACACUGUGAGACAAGAAUAAUUAUUGAAAAUUAAGAGCUCUACAGGGCAGGAUUGUGGGCUCCUGCCACUAGUGAUGUCUCAUGCUUACUGUCAUACUGUGCCUAAUUAUUAAAAUAAGAACUGGGAUAACUAAUACCUGACCACUGACGGAGAUUUUGAGAGACAGCGUUAAUAUUUUUCCUUCAUCCCUCUGUGAGUACCUAUACAAACUUCAUGUUCUUGUGUGAAUUCUGU